Molecule: ribosomal RNA, 616 nt
Filed under: uncultured Glomeromycotina
Lineage: Eukaryota; Fungi; Glomeromycota
Description: eukaryotic LSU rRNA
Rfam family: Eukaryotic large subunit ribosomal RNA
Source: RNAcentral
UGGGAGGUAAAUUUCUCCUAAGGCUAAAUAACGGCGAGAGACCGAUAGCGAACAAGUACCGUGAGGGAAAGAUGAAAAGAACUUUGAAAAGGGAGUUAAACAGUACGUGAAAUUGUUGAAAGGGAAACGAUUGAAGCCAGUCGUACCUUCGGGUAAUCAGCCUUUCGGGUGUGAUUCUGUGGAGUUUGAGGAGCUUAACACCUUCAUGCUUUGCAUAUUCGUGCUCUUGGGUGUACUUGCCCGUGUGGUUGGUUAACAUCAAUUUCGGGCACCAUAAAAUGGCUGGAGGAAUGUAGCUUCGAUCUUGUAUUGAAGUGUUAUAGCCUUCGGUAGAUGUGGUGAUCGAGAUUGAGGAUUGCAACGGAUACCUUUCGGGGCUACCUGUCUGAUCUCUGAUCGUUGUUUUGGUGCUGAAAGCGUGCUUAUAGUUAUCAAAGUCGAUGGUCAAUAGGUUAGAAUGGGUUAAAUUCGUUAAGGAUGUUGACGUAAUGGCUUUAAACGACCCGUCUUGAAACACGGACCAAGGAGUCUAACAUAUAUGCGAGUGUUAGGGUAAUUAAACCCUUACGCGUAAUGAAAGUAAUUUUGGUGGGAGCAUUUUUGUGCACCAUCGACC